UGACAAUGAUGGUGAGCUCCGAUUUUUGGAAACGCUCAAGGUUAAGCCACCUGGGGUUACAAUUGGGGGAAAUUCUGCAUCUGAAAAGGCUUCUGAUGACAUGGAUGCGGAGGAACUUGAUCCAGUGCCUGAUGGAAUAGAGAUUGGCAACGAGAUUAAGAGGGAAUCGACUAUGACUAGUCGCCAGCGAGCCCUUGCUUCUGCAUCUGGCAAAUCAACCCCAGUUGAAUUUCAAGAUGGAUUACCUCCUACAUCGAGAAGUAUGCUUCUUUUUUCUUUGGCUUUUAGAUUCACGAGUAUGCAUCUUUUUUGCAAUAAAGGUUGGUAAUGUAUUGUGAUGAAAAUUUCUGUUGAAAAAUAGGGAAAAGAGAGAAUCUUUCAGAGAUGGAGCAGCAAGUGAAGAAGGCUGAAGCUGCUCAAAGGCGAAAAGUGCAGGUUGAGAAGGCUGCAAGGGAGUCUGAGGUUGGUGUUUUACUCUCUCUCUCUCUCUCUCUCUCUCUCUCUAUGGUGAUAUACAGAUUUAAAAUGUAUCGAAAUCCAUGUGAGGGAUGAUGGUCUUGAUUUUGUGUCUACAGGCAGAGGCGAUCAGAAAAAUUCUAGGCCAAGAUUCGAGCAGGAAGAAGCGUGAAGACAAGAUUAAAAAGCGACUUGAUGAAAUUGCUCAGGUAUUGGGAAAUGCACGACUAUGCUGUUGAUGCGUUAUAUAUUUGAGUAAAACUGAGAUGCUGAAUGUUUGGUUGUCAUAUAUGCUAUGAAUUGAUGAUAACAGGAGAAAGCUGCGCAUGAGGAAAGGGUCUCUACAAGCUACAUCAGAACAAUAAUGGGUCCUAAUGGAACCACUGUUUCAUUUCCCAUUGACAAAGUGCCUAGCCUGUUCGAUCCUAAACCAUCCGGGUAUGGUGUUUCCUCUGUUCUUUCUCACAAACUCAAAUCAGACUAGUUCAUGAGUCAAUGUCCCUAAUUUCAUAACUGAUUUGAUCUGAUCAAUGUGAACACCUAUACAUGAUUCAAAUGUUUUUUUGGUAUGGAGGAAGGCUCUAGAGUUCGGCUUCUUUUGUUCUUUGGAUUCUGUUUUGUAUUCUAACGUUUCAUAAAAACAUAACGAGUAGUUCAAACCUUUGUGAUAACAAUGUAAAGCAUUUUGUGUAUCUGCAGUUAUCCUCCACCGCGAGAAAACUGCGCGGGUCCAUCGUGCACCAAUCCGUACAGGUAUCGUGAUUCAAAGACUAAGGUUCCUCUGUGCAGCCUCCAAUGCUACAAGGCGGUUCAGGAGCAGCAGCAGCAGCAGCAGCAGACCUCUGAACCAGCAACCGACCCCACCCCACCACCGGAGCAGACCUCUGAACCAGCAACCGACCCCACCCCACCACCGGUUUAGAUAGUGAUUGUUUUUUUUUCUGGAUAUAAAAGGACAAGAACUUAGAGCGUUAUCAUUGUUGCAGUGAGGAGCUUCUUAGCUUCCUCAUUUUAUUACAUGCAGACUACAUGAUUCAGUAUAUUUUACUUUACUUCAGACUUAUCUGAUCGGAGAGUUCAGUUUUCUUUUGUGGCCGUCCAUUUAUUUUUUACCAAACCAUUGCCGCUCAUAUAAUUUUAUUCUCCAACGGCUAUCUCAGUUCUUUAAUAAUAAAAUACAUGAUACAAUGUGCUCUCUAUUAUUAGAAGCAAUCUUCAUGGUCAUGUAGUUUACAGUGCAUCGUGAUUCUUAGCUUUGUUUACGUCUCUAAUGAUCAUAACUUCCGUUUUCUUAAAAUUAUCUCUUUUUUUGUUAAAGAAAUGGUUAAAUCCAGUUCUAUUAAAAAACACCUAACUUUCGAGUGAGAAAAUUAUCUUUCUCCCAUAAGAAUCCAUACAUAACACAUAAAUACAAAUACAAUAGUGUUCAAAAUAGUGUUCUAGGCUGCUGCUUAAAUGAUGUCUAGGCACUUGGCUCAAAAAUACUGGAGUCCAUUUUUUGUCUCAAUACUGUGAAAAUUACUUUAUUUUCUGCCACAAUAAUUAUAUACUUUAUUUUCUCAAUUUUACAAUUGAUUUAGAAGAUUUGCGUAGUUUCAAAAUAUAUGAUGUCUAAACGUACGGGUAUCUUUUUCAUUUUAUAAAAAAACGUUUCAAAUAUAUGAUAUAAAUUUUAGUAUUAUAAAUUGUAUAACUCUCUAUAAUCUUAUUUUAUAAGUUUUUAUUCAAUAUUAUUAAUAUGUAAAGAUCUGUUUUAUAUAUUUUACUUUGUUACUAAUUGUUAUUACAUACUAAUAUAUUGUUGAGUCAUGUACAAUAAAUUCAUAAUAUGAAAUAAAAAUAUUUGUAAAAAUAUGGUUAUUAAUUUCUAAAAUUUGCAUACAAUACAUUUUUAAGGUUUAUUUAUAUAUACUAUAGAAAUGGUAUUUGUUUAAGAUAAUUUAGAUCUUCAUAGUUUAUAUUUUCAUGUUGUGUUUAAAAAAUAUACUUAAACAUCUAUCAUUUUAGUAUAGUUAGAGAUUUCAUAAGUAAAUGCAUUGUUCUAUUGUUGACAAAAAAAAAUACAUUGUUCUAUUUUUCUGUUUAAAUAAUUUAGCCCUAUUAUUUUAGAAAAUUUUAUAAUAAAUUUAAGAAAUUUUUGAUAAGAUUUUUCUCAACGGAUUCUGUUAUAGUUAAAAAUAAACAUUAAGUUUAUACUUAAAAUUUAUUUGUCAUUAAUAUCUUUAAUGAAUUAUUAAAAUUAAUUUUUUUCUAAUAGCAUACUUUGUAAAUAACACAUGAAAAAUGUUAGUUAUAAACUAUUAUAUUUUGUAUAUAAUUAUUUCUAGGUAGCAAUUGUUAUGAGUCUGUUUUCGUUUGAUUACAAAAAAAACAUAUUGUUGUGAGUUUCAAAAUAAAUAAAAUAAUAAUAUAUAUAAAAAAUUAACAUAUGUUAAUUAUUUUAUUUAUUGUAUAAAAAUAUUACAUAGGUUAUAAAUUUUAAUAUAUAUUGGAUUUUUCGUAUUUUUAAUAAAUAGAAUAUCAACAUAAAUCAAGUUUUGCCAUAUUAUUUAAUUAAUGUAAGUGACAAAAUCGAUACACGUUAAUUAAAUAUAGUCAUAUAGUAUUAAAUUUAUGAAAAAGGUCAUUAGCAGAUGAUUUGUAUGACUAUUAUUACGUGGCCAUUUGAAAAUUGUAAGUGAUUAGUGAAUAUUUAUUAUAUAAUUUAUUAAAUAGAUUGUUUGGAAUCAAGAUUGGGGAGAUCUUAAUAACUUAAUUUUAAUUUCUAUUUAUUUAUAUCCUUAAUUUUUCUGGUCUAACAUUUAAUUAAGAAAAUAACUUUAAUGAAUUAAUUUCGGCAAUAAGCGUUUACACUCUAGUUCUUGGUCUGACCACCAAGAUCACAGCCUCAGAUCCCAACAGCUCGAUUCCCUUUUCUCCACAUGUCACCAUGGCGUGGCUCACGCUCGAGUUCCAACGGUUUAAUCAUCGGAAGUGAACGAAACUUCUUGAGCAGGCUAGUGUUUUUCUGUGGUCUUCACGAGGUAAUGCUUCUGUGGUGUAGGGUGAUCGUGAGACCAGUGGUGGACAGCACGUUGAUUGGAGGAGACGCCGGUCACCACCGGAGAGAAGAGACGGUGGUGGAUAGAGUGGCUUUGGCCGUGAGCUGUGGGACGUUGUGGUGGUGGAAGCUUCGGGAUGAAAUAGAGGCUUUAGUUGGUGUGGCAGAGGCUAAAAGAGCAUUGUUGUUAUUAUUACCAACCGAUGGUAAUGCUAACGUUAGUUUGGAUGUGGGAACGGUUGAUUUUGUGAAUUGGUGGUUAUACUAUAUGGUUGUGAUGAUUGGUAUGGUUAGGAUCGUUAAAGGGUCUUUGUGGUUCGGAAUGAUUUUGCUUUUCGAACAAGGUAGUAGAAGAAAUCCACGUGGAAAUGCCAGUGCUACUCAUGUUUCUACAACUUCUUCUGUUCAUUAUGACGAUGAAGGUGACACUAAAGUGUAAUAAGUAACAAUUGGUUAUAGGGUCACAAGUGGGGAAUGCAAUUUUUUUGUGUGUGUUUUGGAUCCAAGUUCUUACACCUAAUAUACGAAGGUUCAAGUUGAUAUUUGUAAUGAGAAAGAUGUUAACAAGUUCAUUACUGGAAUGAAAUUUGAUAGAAUCAUAAAAAAAAACAUUAGCACCAGCAAUAGGGCUGGGAUCAUGUAUUGGGGUUGGUUUCGGGGAAUGUUACAAAAAAAAAAAAAAAAAAAAAGGCAGACAUAGAAUGUUAGUGUCUGUCUAUCAGUUAGGUUAGGCCGACCAAACUUGUUACUCACCCCCUUGUUAGGCCUCAAGGGAAAACGAAAAACUCAAGUUAAUAAUAAAUAGACCGGGCUAAGAAGUGAGCCCAGUGAGUCGGGUGGGAAAAUAUUAUAAUAUCCACUAGAGUAGAGUAGACCAUUUUUAAUUCAGUUCAGCUUAUUUGUUCGCGUUGUUCGUCUCCUCCUUCUCCGCACCACAUCCGACUUGGUAAAUCCCCAAAUCCAUCAUUCUUGAUCUCUCUGUUUAUUGCUUUUGAUUUCUUGUUUUAUGCCGAUCCUUCUUCUAGAACAAGUACUGAUGAGAUUUCUUAAUUAGUUGAUUCGGAUUUCGAUUCCUAGCCGAUGUGCUUCAAAGAUGUAAUUUUGGAUCGCUUCAUUGAUAUUGAAACAAAGUCUUUGAUUAGCUAAUCACCGAUUGCCUCAAGAAGUAAGAUCCAUAGGCUAUUAUUGUCCAUUGAUCCAAGUGUUCAUCAUUGAUAUGUCCAUUAAGAAAGAACUGUUGUGAACUUGUGAUAAAAAUGAGAGUCUACCUUUGUUUUAUAUGAAUUUGGUCAUGCAUUAUAUUUCUAGCUUUUUGGUGAUGAUUGAUUGUAUACUUUUCAUGUUUGAUUCGUGGUGUAAUAGUAUGUUUGUAUAUAUAGUCAAUAGUACAUUUAUUGUUUGAUCCCAUCUAAUAUCCAUUUUUCUAUAUGCGAGUUGUUUGUUGUGAAUCACAUUUCCAGCUUUGGUGUAUUGAAAAUUGUAGGAAGUACUGAUUCAUGUUUGAUCUUUUCUUUUGGGUUGUACUGUAUCAGUUUGAUAGGCUGAGAAAUCAAAGAGAUGGCAGGACACAGGGUUGCACAUGCCACACUUAAAGGGCCUAGCGUUGUGAAGGAGUUAAUCAUCGGUAUGGCACUCGGUUUAGCUGCUGGUGGUCUUUGGAAGAUGCACCAUUGGAAUGAACAGAGGAAAACCAGAGCCUUCUACGACUUGCUUGAGAGAGGUGAGAUCAGUGUUAUUGCCGCCGAAGAGUAAUAAAAGCUCUGCUCACAGACUCAUUCUUCAAAGACUGAUGGAUGAUUUCGAAUUCUAUUUUUUUUGUUUCUGUUUAUAAUAACUCUGAGAUGAGUUUGGAUUUUGUGAGAAAUAAACAAAUCUGAGAAUGAGAUUUGGUAGAUCAUAAACUGAUUUUAGUGUGAUGGUCGAUUCAGACAAGCUUCCUUGUUUUGUUUUGUUUUGUUUAAAAAGUUAGUAUUAUUUUAUGGAACCUUAUUCAUGGAAUUUGUGCAUUUGACAAUGUUUCCAACUCAUGAUAUUAUUUGGAAUCAGAAUCUUUGAAAGGAAAAUAUAGCUUGUGUUGCAUCUGUGAUCUGCCAUUGCUUUGUCUCCUGUUUCUUCAAGAGACUGAAAAAGCAUAACCAGGAUAGAUAUCUGAAUGUCUUUACGGCUGAGUUUUGUAAAAAAUAAAAAUUAAUACCUAAAAUAUAAAGUGUUGUGGAAUAAAUAUCUGAAUACACAUGGUGCAAUACGCUUGGUUGCUAGGAGAUAAGAAAAUCGUGAUCACAGAGUUCUGUAUUUAUCUUCUUCUCCUCCCUACAUCAAAAAAAUUAUCUCCUCCUCCCAUCAAAACUCUCCAAAGAUGACAACAGUAGCCGCAACAGGUAUCAACGUCGCGACUCCACGACUGGUCAUUCGACCAGCGGCUCGUCUAUACGCCCCGGUCCGUUUGAAUUACCCGUGGAAAUUCGGUUCGAUGAACCGGAUGGUUACGUCGGUGAAGGCGACAUCGGAAGGAGGGAUGAUAUCGGAUAAGGUGGAGAAGAGUAUUCAGGAAGCGAAGGAGACUUGCGCUGACGAUCCUGUGAGCGGAGAGUGUGUGGCGGCGUGGGACGAGGUGGAGGAGCUGAGCGCCGCGGCGAGUCACGCUAGGGACAAGAAGAAAGCUGGUGGAUCCGAUCCUUUGGAAGAAUACUGCAGUGAUAAUCCUGAGACUGAUGAGUGUCGUACUUAUGACAACUGAAAAUGUUUUUUCUAUCUUGUUGCUGUCGUCUGUGUUUGGUUUGGUUCGUAUGGUGCUUUUCUUUUUGUUUGGUUUUCGUAAGUUGUAAUGUGAUAAUGAAUAUGAUGAAUAUUACAACUACAAUACUCAUCAGGUGUUUCAUUAAUUCGCUGUGUUUCGUGAGGUGUACUAUAGUUUGAUGCCUGAAAAUGUUUUUGAUGUCUGAAAAUUUAGGUACCGGUUACGCGAAGAUGUUUAUUUUACUCGCAGCUAAAUUUUGUUUUUUUUUUUAACUUAUUCCACUGAUGCUAAACAUUUUCAAACAAAAUAAAAUAAAAGUAAUUAGCUUAAAUUAAGAUUCAAACGAAUAAAAUAAAAAAUGACCCGC
Molecule: long non-coding RNA, 6600 nt
Filed under: Brassica napus (rape)
Lineage: Eukaryota; Viridiplantae; Streptophyta; Magnoliopsida; Brassicales; Brassicaceae
Description: long non-coding RNA (BNAP_LNC002948)
Source: RNAcentral